Python bivittatus (Burmese python) is the source of this 1624-nucleotide non-coding RNA. Lineage: Eukaryota; Metazoa; Chordata; Lepidosauria; Squamata; Pythonidae. The record is from RefSeq and is a predicted model, not a curated record.
CGAGGGCGAAGGGCGGUGCUGCUUCCCGGAAGGGGCCUGGCGGAGAGCGCGGACGCAGGGAAGCUAUCCUUGAGCUGUCGCCAUGGAUUCCACCAGUCACCCCUCCACCGGCCAAGUUAUCCUUCUGGCAACCAGUUCGGCUGUUACCGCAAUUCUCUAUGCCGUUUAUAGACAUAAGUCGAAAGUUGUUGAUGGUCUGAAGGGUGCUAAAAAAGUCACCCUAGACCAGGAUUUGAAGAACAUUCUCAUGGAAGCACCAGGGAAAUGCGUCCCCUACGCGGUGAUAGAAGGUGUCGUGCGCUCCGUUAAGGAAACGCUCAACAGCCAGUUUGUGGAGAGCUGCAAGGGGGUGGUUCAGAGGCUGACCCUUCAGGAGCACAAGAUGGUGUGGAACCGAACCACCCACCUCUGGAAUGACUACGAAAAGAUCAUCCACCAGAGGACAAACACGGUCACUUUUGAUCUGGUGCCCCAGGAGAGAGGGGGAGGGCCCGACGUUGCGGUGAGGGUAUUAAAGCCUCUGGAUGCUGCUGAGCUCAGCCUGGAGACCGUCUAUGAGAAAUUCCACCCCUCCGUGCAGUCCUUCACCGACGUGAUUGGCCACUACAUCAGUGGAGAGCGGCCCAAAGGCAUCAAGGAGACGGAGGAGAUGCUGAAGGUCGGGGCGGUGCUCACUGGGGUCGGGGAGCUGGUCCUCGACAGCAGCACCAUCAAGCUGCAGCCGCCCAAGCAGGGCAUGCACUACUACCUCAGCAGCCUGGGUUUCGACUCGCUGCUCCAGCGGCAGGAAUCCAGCGUCCGGCUCUGGAAGGUCUUGACGGCCCUUUGCGGGCUGGCCAGCUGUGCCCUCCUCGCCUUCAUUUUGCACAAACAGUACAGGUGGCGCCGGGAAAAGCGGCGCCUGCGCCAGAUGCAGGAGAGCAUCGCCGCGGGCGGGGACGUGGCCAGCACGUGCGUCAUCUGCCUGAGCAACAGCCGGUCCUGUGUUUUUCUCGAGUGCGGGCACGUGUGUUCGUGCAGCAAGUGCUACGAGGCCCUCCCGAGGCCCCCCCGCUGCCCUAUUUGCAGGCAGCUGAUUGCCAGGGUCGUGCCUCUGUACAACAGCUGAAGGACGAUGCCCUUUCUCUCCGGCUGCUUCCAGGCCCGCCUUAGGAACGAACUUUUUGAGCAUUGCUGCGUUAAAUGGGGAGUGGGUUUGGGUGGGGGGAUGGGGGCAGAACUGUAGCUCUUUGCACAAAUAGACAAAGCCAAACAGUGUUGCUCAGAGGUAUCCUCAGCUGUGACUUUGAAAUUGAACUGCUGGCUGUGGCUUUGAUAAAAUGCCAGAAUGAAGGUUCUUCUCAUGGGUAAUUGCACUCUGUGUGUGUGUGUGUGUGUAUGUGUGUGAGAGAGAGAGAGAGUGAGUGAGAGGCUAAUUCACCGUUGGAUGUUUCCUGUUGGAGAAUUCCCCAGGAUCAUGUUUCUAGAGCAGUGAGGAGUUCACUCUCCCUCGAUUUAUUAACACUUUGUGCGUUUGACGCUGAACAUGUUUUUUUUUUAGUCCCAGUUCUCUGCUGCGGGACUCCUGACCCAGUUCCUAGAAUAAAAGAGUUUGCAUUGCACGUGUUUCAAAUGCAGCUUUUUU